This is a long non-coding RNA of Rhodamnia argentea, 148 nucleotides long. RefSeq lists it as uncharacterized. The record is from RefSeq and is a predicted model, not a curated record. The transcript has 3 exons. Lineage: Eukaryota; Viridiplantae; Streptophyta; Magnoliopsida; Myrtales; Myrtaceae.
CUUGACUCUUUAGUUCCAACUCAAUGUAAUUCUGGUACGAACAGUAGACAAAGCUACAGGAACCAACCUUUUACCGGUAAAAGAAACUAGGGAUUGCAAAAUGCAUGAGACAAGUAUGAAGCAACUGACGCAACAUAAGGACAAAAUG